CACGUAGGGUGCGAGCGUUGUCCGGAAUUAUUGGGCGUAAAGAGCUUGUAGGCGGUUUGUCGCGUCUGCUGUGAAAUCUCAAGGCUCAACCUUGAGCUUGCAGUGGGUACGGGCAGACUAGAGUGUGGUAGGGGAGACUGGAACUCCUGGUGUAGCGGUGAAAUGCGCAGAUAUCAGGAGGAACACCGAUGGCGAAGGCAGGUCUCUGGGCCACUACUGACGCUGAGAAGCGAAAGCAUGGGGAGCGAACAGG
Molecule: ribosomal RNA, 253 nt
Filed under: uncultured bacterium
Lineage: Bacteria
Description: partial 16S ribosomal RNA
Rfam family: Bacterial small subunit ribosomal RNA
Source: RNAcentral